AGCGAACGCUGGCGGCAGGCCUAACACAUGCAAGUCGAACGAACCCUCCGGGAUUAGUGGCGGUUGGGUGUGUAACAUGUCGGAACGUGGCUUUAGAUUUGGAAUAAUUCAUGGUAACUUGUGCUAAUACCGAAUGUGCUCCUCGGAUGCCAGAUUCAGCGCAUUUAGAGCGGCCCGCGAUUGUCUAGCCAGUUGAUUGAGGUUAUGGCUCACUAAGGCGACGAUCAGUACCUGGUCAGAGAGAAAGAUCAGCAACAUUGGGACUGAGACACGGCCGAGACUACUACGGGAUGCGGGAGUGGGGAAUCUUGCGCAAUGGGCUAAAUCCUGACGCAGCCAGGCCUCGUGAAUGAUGAAGUUCGGAGGAAUGUAAAAUUCUUUCACCGGGGACGGUAAUGACGGUACCCGGAGAAGAAGCCCCGGCUAACUUCGUG
RNAcentral lists this ribosomal RNA (434 nucleotides) under uncultured bacterium. Its description in RNAcentral is "partial 16S ribosomal RNA". It matches the Rfam family "Bacterial small subunit ribosomal RNA", at positions 29 to 507 of the family's 1533-position model. The record is from RNAcentral.